This 253-nucleotide ribosomal RNA is filed under the name uncultured bacterium. RNAcentral describes it as "partial 16S ribosomal RNA". It matches the Rfam family "Bacterial small subunit ribosomal RNA", at positions 524 to 776 of the family's 1533-position model. The record is from RNAcentral.
UACGAAGGGGGCUAGCGUUGUUCGGAAUUACUGGGCGUAAAGCGUGCGCAGGCGGCUGCUCAAGUCAGGGGUGAAAGCCCAGAGCUCAACUCUGGAAUUGCCUUUGAGACUGAGUGGCUUGAGUACGGGAGAGGUGAGUGGAAUUCCCAGUGUAGAGGUGAAGUUCGUAGAUAUUGGGAAGAACACCGGUGGCGAAGGCGGCUCACUGGCCCGUAACUGACGCUCAUGCACGACAGCGUGGGGAUCAAACAGG